Molecule: ribosomal RNA, 548 nt
Filed under: Penicillium citrinum
Lineage: Eukaryota; Fungi; Ascomycota; Eurotiomycetes; Eurotiales; Aspergillaceae
Description: eukaryotic LSU rRNA
Rfam family: 5.8S ribosomal RNA (bases 173-326)
Source: RNAcentral
CUUCCGUAGGUGAACCUGCGGAAGGAUCAUUACCGAGUGCGGGCCCCUCGGGGCCCAACCUCCCACCCGUGUUGCCCGAACCUAUGUUGCCUCGGCGGGCCCCGCGCCCGCCGACGGCCCCCCUGAACGCUGUCUGAAGUUGCAGUCUGAGACCUAUAACGAAAUUAGUUAAAACUUUCAACAACGGAUCUCUUGGUUCCGGCAUCGAUGAAGAACGCAGCGAAAUGCGAUAACUAAUGUGAAUUGCAGAAUUCAGUGAAUCAUCGAGUCUUUGAACGCACAUUGCGCCCUCUGGUAUUCCGGAGGGCAUGCCUGUCCGAGCGUCAUUGCUGCCCUCAAGCCCGGCUUGUGUGUUGGGCCCCGUCCCCCCCGCCGGGGGGACGGGCCCGAAAGGCAGCGGCGGCACCGCGUCCGGUCCUCGAGCGUAUGGGGCUUCGUCACCCGCUCUAGUAGGCCCGGCCGGCGCCAGCCGACCCCCAACCUUUAAUUAUCUCAGGUUGACCUCGGAUCAGGUAGGGAUACCCGCUGAACUUAAGCAUAUCAAUAAG